AGUGAACGCUGGCGGUAGGCCUAACACAUGCAAGUCGAACGGCAGCACAGUAAGAGCUUGCUCUUACGGGUGGCGAGUGGCGGACGGGUGAGGAAUACAUCGGAAUCUACUUUUUCGUGGGGGAUAACGUAGGGAAACUUACGCUAAUACCGCAUACGACCUACGGGUGAAAGCAGGGGAUCUUCGCACCUUGCGCGAUUGAAUGAGCCGAUGUCGGAUUAGCUAGUUGGCGGGGUAAAGGCCCACCAAGGCGACGAUCCGUAGCUGGUCUGAGAGGAUGAUCAGCCACACUGGAACUGAGACACGGUCCAGACUCCUACGGGAGGCAGCAGUGGGGAAUAUUGGGCAAUGGGCGCAAGCCUGAUCCAGCCAUACCGCGUGGGUGAAGAAGGCCUUCGGGUUGUAAAGCCCUUUUGUUGGGAAAGAAAAGCAGCAGGUUAAUACCCCGCUGUUCUGACGGUACCCAAAGAAUAAGCACCGGCUAACUUCGUG
RNAcentral lists this ribosomal RNA (492 nucleotides) under uncultured bacterium. Its description in RNAcentral is "partial 16S ribosomal RNA". It matches the Rfam family "Bacterial small subunit ribosomal RNA", at positions 29 to 507 of the family's 1533-position model. The record is from RNAcentral.